AAUCACUUGUACUCCUAAAGCUAUUGAAACUAAAAAUAUUUUUUUAAAGAGAAAUGGCACAGAAAGUAGAGUUUUCCAGAGAGGCAAUGCAAGAUGGCUGAACAGAAGCCUGCACUGAUUGUCCUCCCUAGAGGAACACCAAACUGAACAACCAUCCACACAAAAAAGCACUCUCAUAAGAAUGAAACAUAAGGUAAGUGAUCACAGUAAUUGCACUGACUUCAUAUUACUGAAAGAGGAACUGGAGAGGUGUUGAACUGCUGUUGCCACCCCUCCCCUACCCCCUGGCAGUGGCCACAUGAUGCAGAGAGAAAAUCUGCACAGGAGCCAGUCUUUCCUGUGCUAUUCUUGUGAUAGUGAAUAAGUCUCAUAAGAUCUGAUGGGUUUAUCAGAGGCUUCUACUUUUGCUUCCUCCUCAUUUUUCUCUUGCUGCUUCCAUUCUCGGGUAUGUCUUUAUCAGCAGUGUGAAAAUGAAUUAAUACAGAGAAGAAUGGAAAAGGUGAAUAAAUACAGCACCUUCAACUAAAACACCCAGGAAUAUGCAUCAGGACUAAUCAAGGAAACAACCCCGCUCGUGAAGAAAAGCAAGGUUUUUCAGGGGAGCCAUACAACUGAACAAGAGUCUAUCAACUGACCAAUAUAUAACUGACCUGAAACAGACCUCGGAGAUCUCACCAACCAGUUUUAUCUGAACAGUAGAAACAGCCACAGAUAAGAUUUUCACAUUGAAUAGAAUGCCAUUGUCAACACUGGCUUAUUUUGUUACAUAACACACGUACUGAUGAGAAGAAAGAGGAAAACACUGAUUUAUGGUCUAAAUAAAAUCUUAGGUUCAACAGCGUCUUAAAAUAUAUACUAUAUGUGAUUCCUGGGAGAAGAUUAGCUGUGUUUGCUUCCUAUAUAACAAAUCUGAGGCUUAGAAAUUUAAGUGACUUGUCUGUGGUCAUUUAUUUUCUAAGACGGUCAGAGUAGAGAUUCUGUUCCUGAGCAGUGUCCUUGCCUCAGCUUGGCUAUUCUUUAAAUAAAAGAUAGUUGGUAUUCAGAAGUUUGCAAAUAACCGGAUCUGGGGGCCAGGCUAUAAUUAAAUAUAAUUGGUGCAGUCACUCUGACACAGUGAAAUAAAGAACAUGUAGGCUUUUUAUUUGCCUAAAUGAUAAUUUGACAUGAAUAGCCAUUUACUCAACACUCUAGUCAUCAUUAUUUGUAUAGAGGUAGAGCUUUUGGGAGCAGGGAGGCCAGGUUUGCUGGGAGUCAGAAAAGGGAAUUUGGUUUGAGUCAGAGGUCGCUGUGGGGUAGCUUUGAAGAUUGCAGAAUCUGACAUCUUUGAGGUGCGGAAAUGGAGAGAAAGGUGAUCGCUCAGCUCCCCUUCCAUGAAUGCCCUCAUUGUGGGCAGACCACAGCUGGGGUGACACAGCUCACCUUUACCAACGUCAGCACUGACUUUGCUGCUUGGGUACUCUUUUACCUUCUCUUCCAUUUCAUCCCUGUGUGAAUAGCAAGCCUUGAUAUCUACCAUGUUUGACAACUUCUGGCCAUCUUGAGCUCACUCACACUCUCUCCAGGGAUCUGCCAGCCCCACAGCAUCCUGCAUAGACCUCAAACCUCCACCCCCUGCUCUCUCUCUCUCUC
Molecule: long non-coding RNA, 1629 nt
Organism: Callithrix jacchus (white-tufted-ear marmoset)
Lineage: Eukaryota; Metazoa; Chordata; Mammalia; Primates; Cebidae
Source: RefSeq, a predicted model, not a curated record